GACGCACGCCUCAAAACGAGUUUUUAAUUUUAAAAUAGAACCUCUUUACAUCGAAUACGAGUGAAUGUUUGUGGUCAUUCAACUGUUUAUAGUAUUACAAUAAUCGGUUUUUUGAACCUUUGGUCGAGUGACAUAUAUUUUUAUCUGUGUUCAUAGUGUUGUGUUACCGGAAAUGCGUUGUUUGUAAUUAGAAUUCGAAGAUGCAUUGACUGGCUUCAUGCAAACCUAAGUAUGCCGUUCAUCGACAUCGCAUUCGCAGCUGAGAUCAGCCGGUAUGAAGACCCGGAGUUUGAGGAGGUAGCUCGACGGAACUGCAAUGAGGAUCCGGACAAACGACAGUCGGCUAUCGAAGAGCUUAGGAGUAUGAUCUAUGAGCGGGGCUUGUGUAAUCCUCGUCGAAUGGAUGAUGCAUACCUUCUUC
Long non-coding RNA from Pieris brassicae (large cabbage white), 421 nucleotides. RefSeq lists it as uncharacterized. NCBI's taxonomy places the organism in Eukaryota, Metazoa, Arthropoda, Insecta, Lepidoptera, Pieridae. The record is from RefSeq and is a predicted model, not a curated record. The transcript has 3 exons.